This 839-nucleotide long non-coding RNA is filed under the name Olea europaea subsp. europaea. The record is from RNAcentral. Lineage: Eukaryota; Viridiplantae; Streptophyta; Magnoliopsida; Lamiales; Oleaceae.
AGGGCACUGACCAAUCCGUCAUCCUUCACAUACUAGAUGUUCCUCCUGCUGCUGAAGCACUUAGUGGAGUGAGAUGGGAUUGGUCAAUGCUGCACUCCCUCUUCUCAAAGGUUAGUUGUUUACUCUUGAGUAGUGAAAAUAAUCGUCAGUAGUUUCAUAAAUUUUGACAUUUUGUAUGCCAGAUGAGAUAUAAGUUAAAAGUGGAUAACUUGUAUCUAUCUACUAUGCUAUUUAAAUCAGGUGGUGUUGCAGCAACUAAUGUUGUUGAAACAUGCAAUGGUUGGUGGUUUCCCCAGGAAAGAGGAAAGAUGUGAUAUUAAAGAAUGUUUCAUAUACAAAUCCCAGGUUUCAGUUCUUGAGAAGCAGGCCACUGCCAAUUGCAAGGUGAUUAGCUUAUAUCGAAGUUUCUUGCUGGCCUUUUUUUUAUAGAAUUUUUAUAGAAUAAUGCUAUAUCAUCUUUAGUAUUGUUCUAUAUUUUUAUCAUCAUUAAAUUCGUAGUCAAAAACUCAAAGUUCGACAUUAAAUUUUGCCCGCACUGAAAAAUAAUACUGACUCCGCCCCUGAUAGCAUGAAUUUAUAAAUGUCAAAAGAGUACAUAGAUGAUUAUGUGGCUGCUGGUCAAUAAGUGUGAUUGCUUUUUACUAUAUAACAGUAAAAAUUUUGAUUAAAAUUUGUUGAAAAUUACUCCCAAACAAAAGCUAGACAAAUUUAUACUUCAACAAAUUUACAUGCUAGUCAACUUCUAUGGAUUUUUUUUAAAAUAAUAAUUUUAUUUAUGAUAAUAGUAGUCUUAUAUAAAGAAUGAAAUUGCAAAUUUACAUUUAUAUGUUGAACCCUGU